UACGGAGGGUGCGAGCGUUGUCCGGAAUCACUGGGCGUAAAGGGCGCGUAGGCGGCAGGCCAAGCGUGUGGUGAAAGCCCGGGGCUCAACCCCGGGUCGGCCAUGCGGACUGGCGUGCUUGAGCACUGUAGGGGCGGGUGGAAUUCCGGGUGUAGCGGUGGAAUGCGUAGAGAUCCGGAGGAACACCGAAGGCGAAGGCAGUGUCCUGGCGAGUGACUGACGCUGAGGUGCGAAAGCCAGGGGAGCGAACGGG
Molecule: ribosomal RNA, 253 nt
Filed under: uncultured bacterium
Lineage: Bacteria
Description: partial 16S ribosomal RNA
Rfam family: Bacterial small subunit ribosomal RNA
Source: RNAcentral